Molecule: transfer RNA, 75 nt
Filed under: Paracoccaceae bacterium
Lineage: Bacteria; Pseudomonadati; Pseudomonadota; Alphaproteobacteria; Rhodobacterales; Paracoccaceae
Description: Rhodobacteraceae bacterium (soil metagenome) tRNA-Lys
Rfam family: tRNA
About the family: Transfer RNA (tRNA) molecules are approximately 80 nucleotides in length. Their secondary structure includes four short double-helical elements and three loops (D, anti-codon, and T loops).
Source: RNAcentral
GGGCCGGUAGCUCAGUGGUAGAGCAGCUGACUCUUAAUCAGCGGGUCGUCGGUUCGAAACCGACCCGGCUCACCA